AUUGAACGCUGGCGGAAUGCUUUACACAUGCAAGUCGAACGGCAGCACGGACUUCGGUCUGGUGGCGAGUGGCGAACGGGUGAGUAAUGUAUCGGAACGUGCCCAGUCGUGGGGGAUAACGUAGUGAAAAUUACGCUAUUACCGCAUACGACCUCUGAAUGAAAGCGGGGGAUCGCAAGACCUCGCGCGAUUGGAGGGGCGAAUAUCAGAUUAGGUAGUUGGUGGGGUAAAGGCCCCCCAAGCCAACGAUCUGUAGGUGGUCUGAGAGGACGACCAGCCACACUGGAACUGAGACACGGUCCAGACUCCUACGGGAGGCAGCAGUGGGGAAUUUUGGACAAUGGGCGAAAGCCUGAUCCAGCCAUUCCGCGUGCAGGAUGGAGGCCCUCGGGUUGUAAACUGCUUUUGUACAGAACGAAAAGGUUUCUACUAAUACUAGGAGCUCAUGACGGUACUGUAAGAAUAAGCACCGGCUAACUACGUGCCAGCCGCCGCCGUAA
Molecule: ribosomal RNA, 500 nt
Filed under: uncultured bacterium
Lineage: Bacteria
Description: partial 16S ribosomal RNA
Rfam family: Bacterial small subunit ribosomal RNA
Source: RNAcentral